Panicum virgatum (switchgrass) is the source of this 626-nucleotide long non-coding RNA. RefSeq lists it as uncharacterized. The transcript has 3 exons. The record is from RefSeq and is a predicted model, not a curated record. Lineage: Eukaryota; Viridiplantae; Streptophyta; Magnoliopsida; Poales; Poaceae.
AUAUGUCUUUUUGGUGGCCUUUUCAAUGUGCGAUUGUGCAUAGAGCUUGUUUGCUAAUGCCUAGUUUUAUUGAGUUGUCUAGAUUGCAUCAAGAUUCAUGCUAAUUAGAAGCUGCGUCCUCUUGGCUUAUGGCUAAUGCUCCCUUAUUUUUGCUUUUCUAUUUAAUUUCAUAUGUUCCAGAUAAUAAUGGGACAAAGCAUGUUAUGCCUGGUUGAAUCGAUGACCUUGCAGGAAAGGUCCCACAAAAGCUUUCCUUGUAAGCACUUAUAGUAAUUUUUUAGCACUUGUUAAUUAUUGGUUUGUUUUUAUGUGUAUUUCCUUUAUAUAAUUUAUUUAAAUAUUUAAUUUGAUGAUUUAUCUCAGUUCAUGAGGGUAAAACUAAAUGGUUUAGAUAUUUGAGGUGAUUACAGCUAUAUAAUAUGCUUACUGGACCUUUUAAUGAUAUAAAGGCUCACUACACAUCUUUUUUGAUCCUGCAGCUCCUGAUUUGGCCUAAGGCUCAUGACUGAAACUGGGCUUUUCAGCAAAGAUAUGAAAGAACUACUACAAGAGAAGGUUUUUGUCACCGUGGUCUUAGGUUAUAUCUCCUACAACUUUGUCAUUGGUGCUUAUUCUUACUGCACUAG